GACGUAGGUGGCGAACGUUAUCCGGAAUUAUUGGGCGUAAAGAGCUCGUAGGCGGUCUGUCGCGUCGGCUGUGAAAUCCCGAGGCUCAACCUCGGGUCUGCAGUCGAUACGGGCAAACUGGAGUGUUGCAGGGGAGACUGGAAUUCCUGGUGUAGCGGUGAAAUGCGCAGAUAUCAGGAGGAACACCGGUGGCGAAGGCGGGUCUCUGGGCAACAACUGACGCUGAGGAGCGAAAGCGUGGGGAGCGAACAGG
This 253-nucleotide ribosomal RNA is filed under the name uncultured bacterium. Its description in RNAcentral is "partial 16S ribosomal RNA". It matches the Rfam family "Bacterial small subunit ribosomal RNA", at positions 524 to 776 of the family's 1533-position model. The record is from RNAcentral.